RNAcentral lists this ribosomal RNA (253 nucleotides) under uncultured bacterium. Its description in RNAcentral is "partial 16S ribosomal RNA". It matches the Rfam family "Bacterial small subunit ribosomal RNA", at positions 524 to 776 of the family's 1533-position model. The record is from RNAcentral.
UACGUAGGGUGCAAGCGUUGUCCGGAAUUAUUGGGCGUAAAGAGCUCGUAGGCGGUCUGUCGCGUCUGGUGUGAAAAUCCAGGGCUUAACCCUGGACCUGCAUCGGGUACGGGCAGACUAGAGUGCGGUAGGGGAGAUCGGAAUUCCUGGUGUAGCGGUGAAAUGCGCAGAUAUCAGGAGGAACACCGGUGGCGAAGGCAGCCCCCUGGGUCAACACUGACGCUCAUGCACGAAAGCGUGGGGAGCAAACAGG